This 356-nucleotide transfer-messenger RNA is filed under the name Eubacteriales bacterium. It matches the Rfam family "transfer-messenger RNA". From Rfam's summary of the family: Bacterial tmRNA, also known as 10Sa RNA or SsrA, is named for its dual tRNA and mRNA-like properties. The record is from RNAcentral. Lineage: Bacteria; Bacillati; Bacillota; Clostridia; Eubacteriales.
GGGAUAGUAAAGGUUUCGACAGGGGUCUUGCAGAUGGAGAAGCUAUCCGGAGCCGAACGUGAAACGGCAAACCUAAAUACAAACGCUAACAACAAUAGAAGAUUAGCACUGGCAGCCUAAGGCUGCGUGUCGCCUGCAGGGCACUCGCCACCUGCAGAUACGGCAUUAUGAAGGCGGGAAACGACAUAGAUUAAGCUUUGCGUCUAUGGGCGUAUGAUGAAGCUACCAACUCCGAGGGGCUGUCUGUUUCCUCCCGGAAGGCGGGAAUGCGGGUUCGCCCGGUAUAACAGACUAUGAUAGUAGAAGUACAUUGAAUGGGUCUUUGGACACGGGUUCGACUCCCGUCUAUUCCAUCC